Non-coding RNA from Phascolarctos cinereus (koala), 906 nucleotides. The record is from RefSeq and is a predicted model, not a curated record. NCBI's taxonomy places the organism in Eukaryota, Metazoa, Chordata, Mammalia, Diprotodontia, Phascolarctidae.
CAAGGAGAUGCGCGCAGGCGCUCCUCCGCCGGCUUCUGAUUGGUGCGGAGAAAAAAGGCAGGCCGAGGUUUAGGAGUGCCGGAGUGGGUGGAGUAGCCCGAUGGGGACUGGGCAAGCGCAGAUGUUCUCGCUAGACAUCCUUCCCCUCCACCCUGGACCCUCCUAUUAGAACUAGAGUUGUAGAAAGGAGAGAUGAGCGGGACUUAGGAGGACUUGACCCAGGCGGCCCGGGCGUAGCGACCGGACAGUCAAGCCUUUGUGUGCCUAAUAAAUACGCGAGAACUCAGGACUCUCAGGACUGUCAUCCCCAGGAAUAGACCAUUCGGUGUCGGCGUCCACGGCGCGCAAGGCACGCUCACUUAAUUGAUUUCGAGCUUUUGCUAAACUCCGAGACAGCCCCGGAGCGCACGGAACGGCCGGGGCGGUGGAGGAAGGAGCGAGAAUCCCGCCCCGCCCCCGAGUUUGCUUUAGUCUUGAACCUGAACCACCUGACAAGCCUGAGAUAGCCACAACAUAUGGCCAAUCAAAGCAUCUUGCCCAGAGACAAGAGUCUUAGUCAUCACAAGAGGACAAAAACAGCCUUACGGUGUUGAAGGAGACACUACAGUAUUAUCGGGUUUGAUGUAAGCAGCACAAUGUCAUCCUCAAAAAAAAAAAAAAAGAGCAUUUGGAGGACCUCACCACCCCCAGGGAAUUUCUCUUCUGCUUUAACUCUGCACCGGAUCUCCCAAAUCAGAGUAGAGAAUACAUUGACAAACAUAGAUCUUUCUCUUUUGUGUUCUGGUUGAUAUUUAUUGUCAUAGGGUAAUUGAAAAGGAUUAUUUCUAUUGUGAUAUCUCCCAAGAAGUCUUGAUGUAUGAAUUGGAGGCACCUUGCUAUAAAAGCACUUGGAAAGUGGUGUUUUGU